RNAcentral lists this ribosomal RNA (427 nucleotides) under uncultured bacterium. Its description in RNAcentral is "bacterial SSU rRNA". It matches the Rfam family "Bacterial small subunit ribosomal RNA", at positions 355 to 774 of the family's 1533-position model. The record is from RNAcentral.
UGGGGAAUUUUGGACAAUGGGCGCAAGCCUGAUCCAGCCAUGCCGCGUGCAGGAUGAAGGCCUUCGGGUUGUAAACUGCUUUUGUACGGAACGAAAAGGUGCCUUCUAAUAAAGGGCGCUCAUGACGGUACCGUAAGAAUAAGCACCGGCUAACUACGUGCCAGCAGCCGCGGUAAUACGUAGGGUGCGAGCGUUAAUCGGAAUUACUGGGCGUAAAGCGUGCGCAGGCGGUUUUGUAAGACAGAGGUGAAAUCCCCGGGCUCAACCUGGGAACUGCCUUUGUGACCGCAAGGCUGGAGUGCGGCAGAGGGGGAUGGAAUUCCGCGUGUAGCAGUGAAAUGCGUAGAUAUGCGGAGGAACACCGAUGGCGAAGGCAGUCCCCUGGGCCUGUACUGACGCUCAUGCACGAAAGCGUGGGGAGCAAACA